This is a long non-coding RNA of Hylaeus anthracinus, 1990 nucleotides long. RefSeq lists it as uncharacterized. The transcript has 4 exons. The record is from RefSeq and is a predicted model, not a curated record. NCBI's taxonomy places the organism in Eukaryota, Metazoa, Arthropoda, Insecta, Hymenoptera, Colletidae.
UUAACGACUACUUAAUUUUUCAUUUAACACACCGUUCUGGUCUACUGGACGAGAAAACCGGCCGUUUUCAGGAACCUGGGAGAACGAACUGUCGCGGAACCAUCGAUCCCCGACCUUUUCGUAGCUAUAGCAGUUUCGCGAAAAGAAGUUCCUUCUCGUUGGCACGCAGGAACGUUUCGCGGGCUCGCGCUCCGUGUCAUUUUCCGGAAACGGGAACGCGUUCCAAUGGCUCGAGAUCGAGUGAAAACGGUUCUGCUCGGGCAAGAAACACGGUCAACACGGUUGCAUAACAGCUCAGCUCCACCGUGAUCCAUUAAAAAGCCCAGGCAGUAAAAUUACUCCAAGAUAAAGUCUUUGGGAAUUAAUUUGAGGGAGAUACAGUCCAGACUUUUUCUCUUGCACAAUAUUUACAUGCGUCUCGAACAGUAAGGAGAUAUUUUGAUUUUCAAAAUUUCAGCUCAGGGGCUGUAGCAUGCGAAUAUGCAGCUACAGUACGGGCUUAGCGACACCGGGGUACCCUAGCUAGAUGGGGGCCAGUGGGUUCCAACAGGCGUGAACAAAAGACAAGACUAACGUUAAUGUAAUAUACAGAGUUACGAUAACGCGAACUAAGCUAAAAUUAAGGAGUUGUUUAAGGCAAAGUAAUGUCAAGAAGAAUAGAAAUAAUUCUAAAUUUCCACUAUUAUAGAAGAUUUUCCACUAUUUCUCGUCCCUUUUUGCCCCUCCCUGAUCGAAGCAAUCGCGCGGGGUAGUAGUUGUAUUCGCUGGGAAACAUAUUUCGAUACACGUCCGACAUACUCCGUUUCCGUUCCGUCGUCGCUAGGACGACCUAACGGCACUGCGUUAUUUACGUUGUUCCACCGGCAGCUCCGAGUCUAUCCGCGCAUAAAGCAACCGGUUCGUCGCUUAUUCCGCUCGUCGAUUUGUAUCUUCACGGUCGACGCUCAUUUCUGGUAGACUUCAGCGAACGGCCAUCAUGCUAAAUAGUGGCGCAGCGGUGAUAUCUGCCUGUGGUGUCACUAUUUCGCGAGCUCGCCGUGUGCUGAGGGGCUCCAGUGCUUGAUUAGGAGGGUACCAGAAAGAUAGGAGUUUCAGACGUCUCGCGUUCUCGACGAGUUCGAGAAACGUCAACGUCGUCGGCUAAAAUAAAUCAACGCGGAGGAAUUCGGGGGAACCUGCAAACCCACCGACGGAAGAAAUUAUUAUGCCGCGUAAGUCCUGGCCGUCGAAUCCUUGAGAUGUAUAAAGCAACAACGGCGAGAAAUGGUGCUUGCAUUUGUGAGAAGAGGAUUCAACUGUGGAGUGCCUUUUCUUCCUUGUGCCAGGAACUCCAUUCGUGCAUAGGUGGCAGUUCUGACAGGAGGUUCCUGAUUAAUAGAAGUUGCGCAGCCUAAUAUUAUCGCAAAGUUAGCGAAUCGAAGGGUCGAUAGGAGAACUAAGGCAACGACAGCAGAAUCGAGAAUGGUCGAGGACGAUCAGGAAAACACCGAGAGACUCGCGGACGAGUGUCGAUCCAAUAAUUCCACGGACCCCGAGGGGAUGUAGAAGAGCUCUCGAGCGACAUCGUUCGGCCAUUGUGGUGGAUGUGUUCUCGCGGAACCGGAAGCUCGACCCCUGCGGUAAGAUUUGUACGAUACUUCAGCCUGGUCUUCGGCUCUAAGUGUACUUCCUUGUAUACCGCGGGGCUGAGCUGACGGCAUCAAGUCGUUCGCGUGAACACUUCCAGCCACGCUGCGCGAGCACACAUACCGAAGCUCGGCGAUGCUUGAAUUAUUUUGGUGGUUGACCCGCCAUGAAAUAUUCAGCAUACUCUGUGCGUGACGCAUUGCGUGAAUUAUAGGUUAAUUGCCCUUCAGUGCUAAAGUUCAAGAAUUCUAACGUGGUUACUGUAAUGUUCCUCACACAAUCCAGAACGAAAUUGGAAUAAACAGAAGCUAUCGUAUAUAAAACAUUUUUGUCAUAAUAUGUUCUUAACGACUUAUUUCCUACA